AUUUAGCUGACGAGUCCCAGAUAAGACAAAACGUAUGUCCUUAAU
Non-coding RNA from Schistosoma margrebowiei, 45 nucleotides. NCBI's taxonomy places the organism in Eukaryota, Metazoa, Platyhelminthes, Trematoda, Strigeidida, Schistosomatidae. The record is from Rfam.